RNAcentral lists this ribosomal RNA (207 nucleotides) under uncultured bacterium. Its description in RNAcentral is "partial 16S ribosomal RNA". It matches the Rfam family "Bacterial small subunit ribosomal RNA", at positions 568 to 774 of the family's 1533-position model. The record is from RNAcentral.
CUCGUAGGUGGCCAACUAAGUCAGACGUGAAAUCCCUCGGCUUAACCGGGGAACUGCGUCUGAUACUGGAUGGCUUGAGUUUGGGAGAGGGACGCGGAAUUCCAGGUGUAGCGGUGAAAUGCGUAGAUAUCUGGAGGAACACCGGUGGCGAAGGCGGCGUCCUGGACCAAUACUGACACUGAGUGAGCGAAAGCCAGGGAGCAAACG